This 253-nucleotide ribosomal RNA is filed under the name uncultured bacterium. Its description in RNAcentral is "partial 16S ribosomal RNA". It matches the Rfam family "Bacterial small subunit ribosomal RNA", at positions 524 to 776 of the family's 1533-position model. The record is from RNAcentral.
UACGUAGGGUGCAAGCGUUAAUCGGAAUUACUGGGCGUAAAGCGUGCGCAGGCGGUUAUAUAAGACAGUUGUGAAAUCCCCGGGCUCAACCUGGGAACUGCACCUGUGACUGUAUAGCUAGAGUACGGUAGAGGGGGAUGGAAUUCCGCGUGUAGCAGUGAAAUGCGUAGAUAUGCGGAGGAACACCGAUGGCGAAGGCAAUCCCCUGGACCUGUACUGACGCCCAUGCACGAAAGCGUGGGGAGCAAACAGG